GCCAUCAUUUAAAGAAAGCGUAAUAGCUCACUGGUCGAGUCGGCCUGCGCGGAAGAUGUAACGGGGCUAAACCAUGCACCGAAGCUGCGGCAGCGACGCUUAUGCGUUGUUGGGUAGGGGAGCGUUCUGUAAGCCUGUGAAGGUGUGCUGUGAGGCAUGCUGGAGGUAUCAGAAGUGCGAAUGCUGACAUAAGUAACGAUAAAGCGGGUGAAAAGCCCGCUCGCCGGAAGACCAAGGGUUCCUGUCCAACGUUAAUCGGGGCAGGGUGAGUCGACCCCUAAGGCGAGGCCGAAAGGCGUAGU
RNAcentral lists this ribosomal RNA (302 nucleotides) under Escherichia coli. RNAcentral's name for it is "partial 23S ribosomal RNA". It matches the Rfam family "Bacterial large subunit ribosomal RNA", at positions 1115 to 1415 of the family's 2925-position model. The record is from RNAcentral. Lineage: Bacteria; Pseudomonadati; Pseudomonadota; Gammaproteobacteria; Enterobacterales; Enterobacteriaceae.